GAUGAACGCUGGCGGCGUGCCUAAUACAUGCAAGUCGAGCGAACGGACGAGAAGCUUGCUUCUCUGAUGUUAGCGGCGGACGGGCGAGUAACACGUGGAUAACCUACCUAUAAGACUGGGAUAACUUCGGGAAACCGGAGCUAAUACCGGAUGAUAUUUUGAACCGCAUGGUUCAAAAGUGAAAGACGGUCUUGCUGUCACUUAUAGAUGGAUCCGCGCUGCAUUAGCUAGUUGGUAAGGUAACGGCUUACCAAGGCAACGAUGCAUAGCCGACCUGAGAGGGUGAUCGGCCACACUGGAACUGAGACACGGUCCAGACUCCUACGGGAGGCAGCAGUAGGGAAUCUUCCGCAAUGGGCGAAAGCCUGACGGAGCAACGCCGCGUGAGUGAUGAAGGUCUUCGGAUCGUAAAACUCUGUUAUUAGGGAAGAACAUAUGUGUAAGUAACUGUGCACAUCUUGACGGUACCUAAUCAGAAAGCCACGGCUAACUACGUGCCAGCAGCCGCGGUAAUACGUAGGUGGCAAGCGUUAUCCGGAAUUAUUGGGCGUAAAGCGCGCGUAGGCGGUUUUUUAAGUCUGAUGUGAAAGCCCACGGCUCAACCGUGGAGGGUCAUUGGAAACUGGAAAACUUGAGUGCAGAAGAGGAAAGCGGAAUUCCAUGUGUAGCGGUGAAAUGCGCAGAGAUAUGGAGGAACACCAGUGGCGAAGGCGACUUUCUGGUCUGUAACUGACGCUGAUGUGCGAAAGCGUGGGGAUCAAACAGGAUUAGAUACCCUGGUAGUCCACGCCGUAAACGAUGAGUGCUAAGUGUUAGGGGGUUUCCGCCCCUUAGUGCUGCAGCUAACGCAUUAAGCACUCCGCCUGGGGAGUACGACCGCAAGGUUGAAACUCAAAGGAAUUGACGGGGACCCGCACAAGCGGUGGAGCAUGUGGUUUAAUUCGAAGCAACGCGAAGAACCUUACCAAAUCUUGACAUCCUUUGACAACUCUAGAGAUAGAGCCUUCCCCUUCGGGGGACAAAGUGACAGGUGGUGCAUGGUUGUCGUCAGCUCGUGUCGUGAGAUGUUGGGUUAAGUCCCGCAACGAGCGCAACCCUUAAGCUUAGUUGCCAUCAUUAAGUUGGGCACUCUAAGUUGACUGCCGGUGACAAACCGGAGGAAGGUGGGGAUGACGUCAAAUCAUCAUGCCCCUUAUGAUUUGGGCUACACACGUGCUACAAUGGACAAUACAAAGGGCAGCGAAACCGCGAGGUCAAGCAAAUCCCAUAAAGUUGUUCUCAGUUCGGAUUGUAGUCUGCAACUCGACUACAUGAAGCUGGAAUCGCUAGUAAUCGUAGAUCAGCAUGCUACGGUGAAUACGUUCCCGGGUCU
Molecule: ribosomal RNA, 1372 nt
Filed under: uncultured bacterium
Lineage: Bacteria
Description: bacterial SSU rRNA
Rfam family: Bacterial small subunit ribosomal RNA
Source: RNAcentral